AAAUUUUUAGUUUAAAGUAAAACAUUUUAUUUACAAUAAAAAAAUUUAUUAAUUAAAAAAUUUA
RNAcentral lists this transfer RNA (64 nucleotides) under Pachycondyla annamita. RNAcentral's name for it is "tRNA-Val". Lineage: Eukaryota; Metazoa; Arthropoda; Insecta; Hymenoptera; Formicidae. The record is from RNAcentral.